RNAcentral lists this transfer RNA (87 nucleotides) under Cordylochernes scorpioides. RNAcentral's name for it is "tRNA-Tyr". It matches the Rfam family "tRNA". Rfam says of the family: Transfer RNA (tRNA) molecules are approximately 80 nucleotides in length. Their secondary structure includes four short double-helical elements and three loops (D, anti-codon, and T loops). Further hydrogen bonds mediate the characteristic L-shaped molecular structure. tRNAs have two regions of fundamental functional importance: the anti-codon, which is responsible for specific mRNA codon recognition, and the 3' end, to which the tRNAs corresponding amino acid is attached (by aminoacyl-tRNA synthetases). tRNAs cope with the degeneracy of the genetic code in two manners: having more than one tRNA (with a specific anti-codon) for a particular amino acid; and 'wobble' base-pairing, i.e. permitting non-standard base-pairing at the 3rd anti-codon position. The record is from RNAcentral. Lineage: Eukaryota; Metazoa; Arthropoda; Arachnida; Pseudoscorpiones; Chernetidae.
CCCUCGAUAGCUCAGUUGGCAGAGCGGGGGACUGUAGAUGUUACAACGGUGAUCCUUAGGUUGCUGGUUCAAAUCCGGCUCGAGGGA